AACGAACGCUGGCGGCGUGGAUAAGACAUGCAAGUCGAACGGGAUUAUUUUUGUAGCAAUACAGAAAUAAUUCAGUGGCGAACGGGUGCGUAACACGUGGGCAAUCUGCCGAAAAGUGGGGGAUAGCUCGCCGAAAGGCGAAUUAAUACCGCAUGUGGUGAGGGACGACAUCUUCCUGAAUCCAAAGCCGGGGUAACCUGGCGCUUUUUGAGGAGCCCGCGGCCUAUCAGCAGUUGGCGGGGUAACGGCCCACCAAGGCUUUGACGGGUAGCUGGUCUGAGAGGACGACCAGUCACACUGGAACUGAGACACGGUCCAGACACCUACGGGUGGCAGCAGUCGAG
RNAcentral lists this ribosomal RNA (344 nucleotides) under uncultured bacterium. RNAcentral describes it as "bacterial SSU rRNA". It matches the Rfam family "Bacterial small subunit ribosomal RNA", at positions 29 to 359 of the family's 1533-position model. The record is from RNAcentral.